This 474-nucleotide ribosomal RNA is filed under the name uncultured bacterium. RNAcentral's name for it is "partial 16S ribosomal RNA". It matches the Rfam family "Bacterial small subunit ribosomal RNA", at positions 28 to 508 of the family's 1533-position model. The record is from RNAcentral.
AAUGAACGUUGGCGGCGUGGAUUAGGCAUGCAAGUCGUACGCUCCGCAAGGGGCGUGGCGUAAGGGUGAGUAAGGCGACGGUAACCAACCCCGAGGCCGGGGAUAGCCGUGGGAAACUACGGGGAAUAUCCGGCGUUGCGUCUGGUGGGCAUCUUCCGGACGUGAAAGGUGCGAUUCCGCCUCGGGACGGGCCGUUGUGGUAUCAGCUUGAUGGUGGGGUAACGGCCCACCAUGGCAUUGACGUCUACCGGGCGUGCGAGCGUGGCCCGGCACACUGGGACUGAGACACUGCCCAGACACCUACGGGUGGCUGCAGUCGAGAAUCUUCGGCAAUGGGCGCAAGCCUGACCGAGCGACGCCGCGUGGAGGAUGAAGGCCUUCGGGUUGUAAACCGCUGUCGUAGGGAAUCAAGUGUAUGAGGGUACUCCCUUGUAUUUGAGAGAUCCUAGGAGGAAGGAGAGGCUAAGCUCGUGC